RNAcentral lists this ribosomal RNA (792 nucleotides) under uncultured bacterium. Its description in RNAcentral is "bacterial SSU rRNA". It matches the Rfam family "Bacterial small subunit ribosomal RNA", at positions 8 to 790 of the family's 1533-position model. The record is from RNAcentral.
AGAGUUUGAUCCUGGCUCAGAUUGAACGCUGGCGGCAGGCCUAACACAUGCAAGUCGAGCGGUAGCACAGGAGAGCUUGCUCUCUGGGUGACGAGCGGCGGACGGGUGAGUAAUGUCUGGGAAACUGCCUGAUGGAGGGGGAUAACUACUGGAAACGGUAGCUAAUACCGCAUGACCUCGCAAGAGCAAAGUGGGGGACCUUCGGGCCUCACGCCAUCGGAUGUGCCCAGAUGGGAUUAGCUAGUAGGUGAGGUAAUGGCUCACCUAGGCGACGAUCCCUAGCUGGUCUGAGAGGAUGACCAGCCACACUGGAACUGAGACACGGUCCAGACUCCUACGGGAGGCAGCAGUGGGGAAUAUUGCACAAUGGGCGCAAGCCUGAUGCAGCCAUGCCGCGUGUGUGAAGAAGGCCUUCGGGUUGUAAAGCACUUUCAGCGAGGAGGAAGGCCAGUGACUUAAUAAGUGACUGGAUUGACGUUACUCGCAGAAGAAGCACCGGCUAACUCCGUGCCAGCAGCCGCGGUAAUACGGAGGGUGCAAGCGUUAAUCGGAAUUACUGGGCGUAAAGCGCACGCAGGCGGUUUGUUAAGUCAGAUGUGAAAUCCCCGAGCUUAACUUGGGAACUGCAUUUGAAACUGGCAAGCUAGAGUCUUGUAGAGGGGGGUAGAAUUCCAGGUGUAGCGGUGAAAUGCGUAGAGAUCUGGAGGAAUACCGGUGGCGAAGGCGGCCCCCUGGACAAAGACUGACGCUCAGGUGCGAAAGCGUGGGAGCAAACAGGAUUAGAUACCCUGG